This 690-nucleotide long non-coding RNA is filed under the name Rattus norvegicus (Norway rat). Its description in RNAcentral is "long non-coding RNA NONRATT032134". Lineage: Eukaryota; Metazoa; Chordata; Mammalia; Rodentia; Muridae. The record is from RNAcentral.
AUGUCAUUUAAAUCAAUGUACUUUCUGUUCAGGAUAACUCAAAAGUUCCACUUUGAACACAUUUUGUCAAUUCAGGAUUCAUUGGAGAGACAAGUUGAGUCUACAGUGAUGCUUUCCUGGAGGCCAAUUACUGUCCACUGCUUCUUGCUAGAUUAUUUUUCAGAGGAAGAUGAUGUUCACCUUCAGAAACUACAUCUGAAAUCUCUUGAGAAUAAAGAAGCACAAAACAAGAGGGAACAACUUGGUGGCAUACGGGAGUUUGAGGGAAAUGCCAGAGUCUAUUACAUGCUCUGUGGAAUUAUUCAUCAGUGUCAGUUUGGGUUGUAGUUAGUCAGUGCUUUGAAAUGACAGUAUGUCUUAAGAGAUGGCUGCUGUGACUCUGGAAUUGACAGGAGAGAAGACCUGGCCGGCAAAGAAGUGCAUAAGUAACCAGCAAAUUAGUGAAAGGAAGAAGUAGAGUGGGGCAAAUCAAGAGCAGCAGCAUUAAAUAACAAUUAUACAAAUGUAAUACACAUGUUCUCAUUUAUUCUUAUUGACUAUGACAACCAAUGCUUGUAUUAAUCCUGGAUAGUUUUUCAUUGAGUACUCCCACAAUUCCUUUCUGAAGUGUUCUUCCUUUUUACAGAAGGAGAAACCAAUGCUCAGAGAGCUCUGCAGAUCGUGGUGGAACCUGCAUAGAAAAUGAUGUAU